ACGGGUGAGUAUGCUUACGAAUCUUCCUACUACCUCUGACAACGUUCCCUAAGGACGACUGCUACCCCAUACCUCCUACGGUAUAAAGCCGCGACCUUUGGACCUUGACUAAUAGUUGAUCCCAAUUCGGAUUAGCUCCCUGGUAGGGUAAAUGCUUGGUAGGGAGACGACUUACCCCGGCUCUUACGGGAAGAUCCGCCGAGUGCCUAGUGAGACUCGGCCGGAACUCCUACUGGAGGCAGCCUUGGGGAAUAGUGGACAAUGGGGGGAACCCUGAUCCAGCCAUGCCCCGUGUGGGAAGAACGCCUUUUGGAUGUAAAGCGCUGUAUUCUAGUAAGAGCUACCUGGAUGAAUACUUUAGGAUAGUGGACGUUACUCCCAGAAUUGCUCGGCCUUACUCAUUGCCAACAGCCGCUGUAAUUCAGACGGCGCGCGCGUACGUCGGAUUUACUGGGCAUCCCUAGUGCUAGGGCGUCCAAUUACGCCAAAUUUGAUUUCUUCUUUCUUAACUUGGGAAUUGCACUCCAUAUUGGUUGGCUAGAGUAUGAGAUAGAUCAUAGAAUUCCCAGUGUAGGGGGUGAAAUGAGUAGAGAUCUGGAGGAGUACUGAUGGCGUAGGCAGUUAUCUGGCAUAAUAGUGGCGGUGAGGUAGGAAAGCGUGGGGAACAAACUUGAUAGAUAUCCUGCUCGUCCAUCCUGUAAUAUAUGUGUAGUAGUCGGGCGGGCCCUUGACGGAUCAGAGGCGCCGAUAACGCGAUAAGUAGGCCGCGGGGGAGUGUAGUGUAAAGAUUAAAAAUAAAAGAAUUGACGGGGGCCCGCACAAGAGGUAUUUCAUUUUGUUUAUUUCGAAGCAACCGGAAGAACCUUUUCAACCCUGACAAACAGCGAACUUUCCAAAGAUGGAUCCUCUCCUUCGGGAGAUACGAUGCAGGUGCUGCAUUGCUUUUGUCAGCUCGUGUUGUUAGAUGUUGGGUUAAGUCCCGCAACGAGCGCAACCCUUUUCCUUUCCGCCAGCACUUCUGGUGGGAACUUUAAGGAUACUGCCAGUGACAAACGGGAGGAAGGGGG
This 1067-nucleotide ribosomal RNA is filed under the name Acinetobacter sp. BAC3057. RNAcentral describes it as "bacterial SSU rRNA". It matches the Rfam family "Bacterial small subunit ribosomal RNA", at positions 102 to 1176 of the family's 1533-position model. The record is from RNAcentral. Lineage: Bacteria; Pseudomonadati; Pseudomonadota; Gammaproteobacteria; Moraxellales; Moraxellaceae.